This 433-nucleotide ribosomal RNA is filed under the name uncultured bacterium. Its description in RNAcentral is "partial 16S ribosomal RNA". It matches the Rfam family "Bacterial small subunit ribosomal RNA", at positions 29 to 507 of the family's 1533-position model. The record is from RNAcentral.
AACGAACGCUGGCGGCAUGCCUAACACAUGCAAGUCGAACGAGACCUUCGGGUCUAGUGGCGCACGGGCGCGUAACGCGUGGGAACCUGCCCUUAGGUUCGGAAUAACUCCCCGAAAGGGGUGCUAAUACCGGAUAAUGUCUUCGGACCAAAGAUUUAUCGCCUUUGGAUGGGCCCGCGUUGGAUUAGCUAGUUGGUAGGGUAAAAGCCUACCAAGGCGACGAUCCAUAGCUGGUCUGAGAGGAUGAUCAGCCACACUGGGGCUGAGACACGGCCCAGACUCCUACGGGAGGCAGCAGUGGGGAAUAUUGGACAAUGGGCGAAAGCCUGAUCCAGCAAUGCCGCGUGAGUGAUGAAGGCCUUAGGGUUGUAAAGCUCUUUUACCCGGGAUGAUAAUGACAGUACCGGGAGAAUAAGCGCCGGCUAACUCCGUG